GCUCCCUCGACUCCAGCUUCUCCGACGUCGGUGGACUUUUGCAUCAACAGCUGCAUACCAGACUCAAUCCUCCCUCUCAAUAUGCCAGCCUCUCUGGCAAAUAUAGAAAAGUCCUGAGGCUCAUCUGAUCUAACUCUGAUCUCCAUAGCCUCUAUCCUCUCUAAUAAACAACUGACCUUGAAACUCAGUGUGCCAAGCUCAAUCUCUAUCUACUCGGA
This 218-nucleotide long non-coding RNA is filed under the name Elaeis guineensis (African oil palm). RNAcentral's name for it is "long non-coding RNA (EGUI_LNC048678)". The record is from RNAcentral. Lineage: Eukaryota; Viridiplantae; Streptophyta; Magnoliopsida; Arecales; Arecaceae.